Molecule: transfer RNA, 74 nt
Filed under: Chitinophagaceae bacterium
Lineage: Bacteria; Pseudomonadati; Bacteroidota; Chitinophagia; Chitinophagales; Chitinophagaceae
Also listed under: 1 other name
Description: tRNA-Pro
Rfam family: tRNA
About the family: Transfer RNA (tRNA) molecules are approximately 80 nucleotides in length. Their secondary structure includes four short double-helical elements and three loops (D, anti-codon, and T loops).
Source: RNAcentral
CGGGUGGUGGCGCAGUCCGGUAGCGUACUUGUAUGGGGUGCAAGGGGUCGCUGGUUCGAAUCCAGUCCACCCGA